This 862-nucleotide ribosomal RNA is filed under the name uncultured bacterium. Its description in RNAcentral is "bacterial SSU rRNA". It matches the Rfam family "Bacterial small subunit ribosomal RNA", at positions 9 to 867 of the family's 1533-position model. The record is from RNAcentral.
GAGUUUGAUCAUGGCUCAGAUUGAACGCUGGCGGUAGGCUUAACACAUGCAAGUCGUGCGAGAAAGUAUCUUCGGAUAUGAGUAGGGCGGCGGACGGGUGAGUAACGCGUAGGAAUCUACCUAGUAGAAGGGGAUAGCCCGAGGAAACUCGGAUUAAUACCGUAUACCUCCUUAGGGAGAAAGAGGGCCUCUCUUGAUGCUCUCGCUAUUAGAUGAGCCUGCGUAAGAUUAGCUUGUUGGUGAGGUAAUGGCUCACCAAGGCUACGAUCUUUAGCUGGUCUGGGAGGACGAUCAGCCACAUUGGGACUGAGACACGGCCCAGACUCCUACGGGAGGCAGCAGUGGGGAAUAUUGGACAAUGGGCGCAAGCCUGAUCCAGCCAUACCGCGUGUGUGAAGAAGGCCCUAGGGUUGUAAAGCACUUUAAGCAGGGAGAAAAAGUUAUAAGUUAAUACCUUAUGACCUUGAUGUUACCUGCAGAAUAAGCACCGGCUAAUUCCGUGCCAGCAGCCGCGGUAAUACGGAAGGUGCAAGCGUUAAUCGGAAUUACUGGGCGUAAAGCGCGCGUAGGUGGUUUGUUAAGUUGGAUGUGAAAGCCCUGGGCUCAACCUAGGAACUGCAUCCAAAACUAACUCACUAGAGUACGAUAGAGGGAGGUAGAAUUCAUAGUGUAGCGGUGGAAUGCGUAGAUAUUAUGAAGAAUACCAGUGGCGAAAGCGGCCUCCUGGAUCUGUACUGACACUAAAGUGCGAAAGCGUGGGUAGCGAACAGGAUUAGAUACCCUGGUAGUCCACGCCGUAAACGAUGACAACUAGCUGUUGGAAGACAACGUCUUUCAGUGGCGCAGCUAACGUUUUAAGUUG